This 488-nucleotide ribosomal RNA is filed under the name uncultured bacterium. Its description in RNAcentral is "partial 16S ribosomal RNA". It matches the Rfam family "Bacterial small subunit ribosomal RNA", at positions 28 to 507 of the family's 1533-position model. The record is from RNAcentral.
GACGAACGCUGGCGGCGUGCUUAACACAUGCAAGUCGAACGCGCCUGUCCUCUGGGUUUCUGGGGGGUGGGUGAGUGGCGAACGGGUGAGUAACACGUGAGUAACCUGCCCCCUUCUUCGGGAUAACGGUCUGAAAGGGCUGCUAGUACCGGGUAUUCACUGGUCUCCGCAUGGGGUCUGGUGGAAAGGUUUUUUUCUGGUGGGGGAUGGGCUCGCGGCCUAUCAGCUUGUUGGUGGGGUGAUGGCCCACCAAGGCUUUGACGGGUAGCCGGCCUGAGAGGGUGACCGGUCACAUUGGGACUGAGAUACGGCCCAGACUCCUACGGGAGGCAGCAGUGGGGAAUAUUGCACAAUGGGCGCAAGCCUGAUGCAGCGACGCCGCGUGAGGGAUGGAGGCCUUCGGGUUGUGAACCUCUUUCGCCCGUGGUCAAGCCGCGACGUGGGUCGUGGUGAGGGUAGUGGGUAAAGAAGCGCCGGCUAACUACGUG